RNAcentral lists this ribosomal RNA (981 nucleotides) under uncultured archaeon. Its description in RNAcentral is "bacterial SSU rRNA". It matches the Rfam family "Archaeal small subunit ribosomal RNA", at positions 93 to 1055 of the family's 1478-position model. The record is from RNAcentral.
GUAACACGUAGUCAAUCUGCCCUUGGGACGAGAAUAACCCUGGGAAACUGGGGCUAAUCCUCGAUAGGCGCAGUGGCCUGGAAUGGUUCUGCACUGAAAAGGUUCCGAGAACAUGCUCUUGGAAUUGCCCAAGGAUGAGACUGCGACCGAUUAGGUUGUUGGUAGGGUAACGGCCUACCAAGCCUAUAACCGGUACGGGCCCUGAGAGGGGAAGCCCGGAGAUGGGAACUGAGACAAGGUCCCAGGUCCUACGGGGCGCAGCAGGCGCGAAAACUCCACAAUGCGCGAAUGCGUGAUGGGGUUAACCCGAGUGCCGUCCGAUGAGGAUGGCUUUUCUUCAGUCUAAGGAUCUGGAGGAAUAAAGGGGGGGCAAGACUGGUGUCAGCCGCCGCGGUAAUACCAGCCCCCUGAGUGGUAGGGACGAUUAUUUGGCCUAAAGCGUCCGUAGCCGGCUUAGCAAGUCUUUCGUCAAAUCCAACGAUUCAAUCGUUGGGUCGCGGAAGAUACUGCUAGGCUUGAGGACGGGAGAGGUCGACGGUAGUCCCAGGGUAGGGGUGAAAUCCUAUAAUCCUGGGAGGACCACCAGUGGCGAAGGCGGUCGACUAGAACGUGCCUGACGGUGAUGGACGAAAGCUGGGGGAGCGAACCGGAUUAGACACCCGGGUAGUCCCAGCUGUAAACGAUGCGAGCUAGGUGUUGGAGCAACUACGGGUUGCUCCAGUGCCGCAGAGAAGUUGUUAAGCUCGCCGCCUGGGAAGUACGGCCGCAAGGCUGAAACUUAAAGGAAUUGGCGGGGGAGCACCACAAGGGGUGAAGCCUGCGGUUCAAUUGGAGUCAACGCCGGGGAAACUUACCGGGGCUGACAGCAGUGUGAAGGCCAGAUUAAGGGUCUUGCCAGACAAGCUGAGAGGAGGUGCAUGGCCGUCGCCAGUUCGUGCUGUGAGGUGUCCUGUUAAGUCAGGCAACGAGCGAAGGACCCCC